Molecule: ribosomal RNA, 369 nt
Filed under: uncultured bacterium
Lineage: Bacteria
Description: bacterial SSU rRNA
Rfam family: Bacterial small subunit ribosomal RNA
Source: RNAcentral
UGCGUGGGCGCAGCCUGACCGCCUGCCGCGUGAGUGAUGAAGGCCCUAGGGUUGUAAAGCUCUUUUGUGCGGGAAGAUAAUGACGGUACCGCAAGAAUAAGCCCCGGCUAACUUCGUGCCAGCAGCCGCGGUAAUACGAAGGGGGCUAGCGUUGCUCGGAAUCACUGGGCGUAAAGGGUGCGUAGGCGGGUCUCUAAGUCAGAGGUGAAAUCCUGGAGCUCAACUCCAGAACUGCCUUUGAUACUGAAGAUCUUGAGUUCGGGAGAGGUGAGUGGAACUGCGAGUGUAGAGGUGAAAUUCGUAGAUAUUCGCAAGAACACCAGUGGCGAAGGCGGCUCACUGGCCCGAUACUGACGCUGAGGCACGAAA